RNAcentral lists this ribosomal RNA (429 nucleotides) under uncultured bacterium. RNAcentral's name for it is "bacterial SSU rRNA". It matches the Rfam family "Bacterial small subunit ribosomal RNA", at positions 28 to 456 of the family's 1533-position model. The record is from RNAcentral.
GACGAACGCUGGCGGCGUGCCUAACACAUGCAAGUCGAACGGGGUGAUGACUUCGGUUAUCACUUAGUGGCGAACGGGUGAGUAACGCGUGAGGAACCUGCCUCUCAGUGGGGGACAACAGUUGGAAACGACUGCUAAUACCGCAUAAAGUAUUCGAAGGGCAUCCUUUGGAUACCAAAGAUUUAUUGCUGAGAGAUGGCCUCGCGUCUGAUUAGAUAGUUGGUGAGGUAACGGCUCACCAAGUCGACGAUCAGUAGCCGGUCUGAGAGGAUGGACGGCCACAUUGGGACUGAGAUACGGCCCAGACUCCUACGGGAGGCAGCAGUGGGGAAUAUUGGGCAAUGGGGGGAAACCCUGACCCAGCAACGCCGCGUGAAGGAAGAAGGCCUUCGGGUUGUAAACGUUCUUUUACCUAGGACGAACACAAUG